CUAUUCCGAAGGGGCAUGCCUGUUUGAGUAUCAUGAACAUCCAACUCCUCACGGUUCGCCCGUGAUGAGCUUGGACUUUGGGGGUCUUGCUGGCCUGUGGGUCGGCUCCUCUCAAAUGAAUUAGCUUGCCAGUGUUUGGUGGCAUCACAGGUGUGAUAACUAUCUACGCUUGUGGUUUUCCACCAGGUAACCUUCAGUGAUGGAGGUUCGCUGGAGCUCAUAAAUGUCCCUCCUCAGCGAGGACAGCUUCUUGAAUGUUUGAUCUCAAAUCAGGUAGGGCUACCCGCUGAACUUAAGCAUAUCAAUAAGCGGAGG
Molecule: ribosomal RNA, 315 nt
Filed under: uncultured Tomentella
Lineage: Eukaryota; Fungi; Basidiomycota; Agaricomycetes; Thelephorales; Thelephoraceae
Description: eukaryotic LSU rRNA
Rfam family: Eukaryotic large subunit ribosomal RNA (bases 260-315)
Source: RNAcentral